RNAcentral lists this ribosomal RNA (199 nucleotides) under uncultured bacterium. RNAcentral's name for it is "partial 16S ribosomal RNA". It matches the Rfam family "Bacterial small subunit ribosomal RNA", at positions 326 to 539 of the family's 1533-position model. The record is from RNAcentral.
ACGCUCGACACCUACGGUAGGCAGCAGUCGGGAAUAUUGCGCAAUGGAGGAAACUCUGACGCAGUGACGCCGCGUGCAGGAAGAAGGUUUUCGGAUUGUAAACUGCUUUAGACAGGGAAGAAAAAAGACAGUACCUGUAGAAUAAGCUCCGGCUAACUACGUGCCAGCAGCCGCGGUAAUCUGAGCGGGCUGGCAAGGC